Alligator mississippiensis (American alligator) is the source of this 4419-nucleotide long non-coding RNA. RefSeq lists it as uncharacterized. NCBI's taxonomy places the organism in Eukaryota, Metazoa, Chordata, Crocodylia, Alligatoridae. The transcript is spliced from 2 exons. The record is from RefSeq and is a predicted model, not a curated record.
AAAGACUUUAAAAAAUAUUUUUAAACAUACUACAUUUACAGUCUUUCUAGCACAUACAAUUUACCUGGAAAGCUCAACCUUCUCAGUCUUACACAUCUAAAACUGGUUGGUUGGUUUUGUUUGUUUUACUUCCAUAGUUAAAAACUGUCUCAGUCUUGCACACAGCUGAACAAGCACCUUCUUCAGUAACUGGAUUUGGACCUAAUCCCACAAGUUUUAUGCAGGCACAAAACCUUUAGGCAGAAAGACUGCUUGUAUGAGUAAAUGCCACUAAACCACUGCAGGGCUAAGCCCCUUCUCCCCUCCCCCUGAAAAUGUGCUUACAACAUAGUGACCGCUAUAUGUUACAGAGCCUACUCUUACGAGCUUUGUCUUCAGUGCCUCUUACCUGAACCAUGUAUGACACCAACUCUGUUCCUACAGAAUUUCAUUGGUGACUGGUGUGACUAAAGAAAACAUGCUGUGUAUACUCAAAUCCUGACCCAUUCUGCACACAGGAAGCAACUGUGAUCACCUGAAACCUGAGAGACUGCUCCUGCCUUCAUUUCAAGAUAAUUUGCAUCAUCACAGAUCCUCACAGGAGGCGAGAGGCUCCAUACCAGCUAUGAACUGCCUGCCCGGAGGAGUUUUCCAUCUAUUGGCUCCUUUGUGAAAUCCUAUGAAAUAUGAACUUUCAUUGCUACUCAAGAGAACUUUUACAAUCUUUUCUCCAAUGCUUGAUGAAGGGUGUUUGUGCCUGAAGGCUUGCCAUUAAAGAACUUUUUUUGCAAAAAUCUUGUUGGUCUAAUAAAAGAUAGCAAUCAGGACUCAUAGUAGAGAUGAUUUUACCUCUAGACCAAUACAGCUAUAACCUGGAUACAAGAUACUUAUUUUGCACUCAGACAAGAGAAGCAAGGAACUGUCUUGUAUUCAUUAUGUUUAUGCACUUCCUUUACACUUUUAUUUGUGGAAUCCAAGCCUCGGUUACUCAAUUGCUUGAAGGGAUUUCUAUGCAUGUUGGUUUGUCUAUUCUAGUUGUGUAAGUUUUGAUUUUAUAUGUUCAGGUACCAAUUUUAAUGUCUACCUUUAUUUUUUUUAAGUUAUUGAUUUAUUUUGCUAGACAUUUUCUUAGCCUGCUCUGGCCAAAAAAAUAUGCAUUUGGGGAAAGUUGUAGGAUGUUAAGAAUAUUGUGUUCUCUCUCUCUCUCCCUUUUUUAUUUUUAUUUUGUUCUGACUGCUAGUUCAUGUUGUUAAAAUAAGCCAGAUUCUUAAACAGGCAGUUCCUUUGAUUCCUGCCUGUGCACAUUCAAUUGCCAUUUUAAGAGGGAGCAGGGGGAACAAGGGAAACCAUUUCAGGACCAUUCAACAAACUGUAUAAGGAAAAAAGCAUAUAGUAAUAUGGUAAUACACAUAACCAAAAUCCCUUUCUCUUCCUUCAGUUCCACCUCUGGGCUGUUGGUUGUAUUUAGCUGGUUUUCUGAGAACUCUCUGCAUUUUCCAUCCUGCACUUCUCCUUUUGACCAGCUCAUGGUUGCUGGCUCUUGUGGAUUUUUUCCAUCUAGGCAUUAGUAUAUUUUUAGCCACUUGAGGGACAAUGAUGGGGUGCUGUCCAGGGCUGGGAAGUCCCUUGUUUCCUGCUGGCAGUUCUUUCCCCUUUGCACAGUCUUGCUGCUCAUCCUUUUCACACCAGCUUUUAUCUAUUCUUUGCAACAUCCAAAUAAAUAUUCUUAUUCCUGUGGUGGUCCUUCUCCUCAUCUUGCAUUCCCCUUUCUCCUCAUAGGUUAACAGAGUCCAGCACUCCUUUUCUAGACCUGGCAGCAGCAUGGGACUCACCUGAACUUUCCUUUACCUGGUGCCAUAGUCAUUGUCAGUGAUUCCUCAUGGUCUAGGAUAAUCAUUCCCAUGGGUCAAGUAAAGGAGUGUAGAUAAGUCAGUUGAUGUCUAAGAAGGCCAAUCCUAAAGCCACAAACUCUCUGGCAGACACCACAGGUGAUGGUUAAAGGGGACAGUUAAGCCACAGAUUUCUCGGUCUUGUUUCCUUUCCUUCCAUUUCUGUCAUUUUUUUUCUGCCCCCAGGGCAAGACAGGUUUUCUUCAAAGUAAAAUGUACCUUCUCUCUCAAGGCAUUGCUAUAUAGCUGUGUCCCAGGCUAGUUUUUCCCAGUUUCUGGUGUCAGUGCAACACUUCUUAAUGUUCACCAGGAGAGGGUGUCCUUGGCACCCACGUGUCCUUUUUCCUUGGCUGAGUUGGGAGUAUAGCAGUUGUUCUGGUAAACAUACAUCAGGCAUGAGCACAUAAUGCCCUGUCCACCACAGCUGAUGUUGAGUAAUCAAUGCUUCCAUGCUGGUGGUCUUAGUGUCGGUGAGCACACUGGAAUUUAUACAAUGAUCCUCCAACUUUAUGCAGAGGUAAUGCUGGUGAAGGUUGCCCUGAACAACCUUGUAGGUCAGCCAAGCUUCACAGCGAUAGAGAAGAGUUGGGGUUGCCACAGCCUUGUAUAAUAGGAGUUUGUUUUAGUGCUGGUGUCAUGAUCAUUGAACACACAAUGAUACAGUUUUCUGAGGGCAGAGCUGGCACCCUAGAUCCUAUAUUGCAGGGGUUCUCAAUCCUCAGGCCGUGGCCCACUGCUGGUCUGCGGUACGGUCAGCUGCCAGACUAGAAGUGGCCACAGACCGACAAACCGCAGCCCCCCCCAGAGCCGGGUGGUUUGGCCACGGCUUCCUCCACAGGGCCCACUGUAGGGCAGGGUUUGGCCCACCCAGGGGAUGAGGGUAUCCUUACCUGUCUUCUGGCCAGAAAUUCUGGCCAUACUCAGCUGCAACUGCUGGACCCUGGUUUGCCAGCCCAUGGCCACUUCUGAGCUGUGGUUUACUGGGCCAUGGCAUAAAAACUUUGGGAACCCCUGCUAUAUUGGAUCUCCUCAUUGAUGUUGCCCUUCUUUAAGAGAUGGCUGCUGAGGUAUACAAAGUGUUCAACGUUCUCCAGCUCCUGUCCAUCAGUAAGGAUUUUCGCCGUGGGAGUUGACUGGUAGAAUAGGCUGCUGAAACUUUGUUUUUCUGACAUUAAGAGUCAGUCCUAGGCACUGAUAUGCUUGAAAGAAGCAGUUAAGGGCUGUUUGUGGGUCCCUCUCUGUAUGUGCAAUGACAGCACAAUCAUUGGUAUACUGAAGUUCCACAGUUGAGGCUGAUGUAACCUUAGUUUCCACAUGGGCCUGGGAAAGACUGAAAAGCUUCCCAUCCAUGUACACGGUGCUGAUGCCAUGUAACAGAUAGCCAUGGAUGAGCAUCUUGAUGACCGCAAGGAAGAUGGAACACGGAAUUGGUUUAAUUAUGUAGCCCUGCUUGAUACUAAUUCGAACAGCGAAGGGCUUCAUAGCAGAGCCACUGCAUAAGAUGGAAGCAAUCAUCUGGUCAUCAGAUCUUCCAUAGAGCUUUAUGGUUAACAGAGUUGAAUGCUUUCUUCAAAUUGAUAAAUGCCAUAUACCUUUUCUGGUGUUCUUCUUGGCAUUUUUCCUGGAUCUCCCAAGCUACAAAAAUCAUGUCCAUGGUGUCUCUUGAUGGUCUGAAGCCACAUUGAGACUCGUGAAGGAUUUCCUAGGCAAGAGGGAGCAGUUGGUUCAGCAGAAUUCAAGCUAGGAUCUUGCCAGUGAUGAAGAGGAGGAGGAUACCUUGAUAGUUUUUCCACAGUCAGAUUUAUCUCCCUUUUUAAAAAUGGUGACAGUAUUGGCAUUCCUUGGGUCACUGAAAAUUUCCCCAAUGUUCCAGAUUUUAAGAAACAGUGUGUGGAGUUCGUUGGUCAUACCUUCCCCACCUACUUUUGAAGACCUCAGCUGGUAUGCAUCUGGGUGAGAUGCUUUGUUCUUCAUCUGUCUUAUUGCCUGGUGGACUUUAGAUGUUGGUGGAGUGGCAAGUGCUUCCCUUACUGGAUGCUGUGGGAUAGAUUUGAUGGUUUCAUCAGUCACCUUUGAAUCUCGGGUCAGGAGCUUUUGAUAGUGUUCUUUCCAGUGGUUUUUGAUGGACUUACUGUCUUUGAGUGUACUGCCGUCUUCAGAUCUAAGCAGGGUGAGCCUGCAAGAAUUUGGUCUGUACACACAUUCUUGAUUGCACUGAAGAAUCUCUGCAUGUCAUAAUUGUCAACAAAUUGUUGGAUUUCUUUCGCCUUAUCUUCCCACCAUUUCUUUUUGAUUUCUCUAAUCUUUCUCUGGACUUUACCUUUAAGCCAUCAAAAAGUUCCUUGCUGCUGACUAGAUGGUUUUGCCAGUCACAGAAAACUUUUCUCUUCUGCUUUGAGAAGGGCUUUGAUCUCAGCAUUUUUUUUUUUCAUCAAACCAGCCCUGAUGGCAUUGGGUGAUAAAGCCAAUGGAUUCUGUGCAAGCCUUUUGAAUGGUUUCUUUUAGAGCUUGCCAAUCUUCCUGAAAAUAAAUGUUAUCAUUUUCAAUCCUA